UUUUUUGUAAUGCGAUUUAAAAUUUUUAAAAACAUGGGCUUCAUGAAAACACCAUUGUUACUAACUUGGGCUUAGAUGGGAAUCUAAUGUGAAUAGUUCAAGUUAUGGGACUUGUCUAAAUAUGUCUAUACUCUAAACCUGGGGGAAGGUGGUGUGGAACAUUGACUUGACUACAGUCGAAUACAUGUUGGGAAUCAUUCCCAAUCAUAAGACAUCGUCGUUUCUGUAGGAUGACUGCAUAUGUUCAGAGUAGCUUUUUGAAUUUGGUUCCCUUAGCUUUAGGGAUGUGAUGUUAUAGUCCAAAAUGUUUACAAGAAAACCUAAGUCUUCAAAAGCACAACUUUUGUUGCUUAGGACUUUGCAUCAACUGUUGUUCCAGACCUCAUUUCAACUUUUUGGUCUCUGAGCUGGUUUUUAGCUAGCAUGCAUGAGAGAGAGCUUUCAUGUAUAAUGUUUCUGCUCUGUAACUGGCAAGUGGUUUACUUUGCAUAAAUGCUGAUGAAAACUUCAUGACUAUGAGACUUUUCUUCUGUGUAUCUAGAAAAAGAGCUUGCUCGUUGGCAAGCAAUUCACAAGGUGGGGACAGACUUGUACUUUAACAUGUAGUCCAUUCAAGCAAACAACUUUGGACUCUACUGAUAGAUGAAAGAGCAAAUGAUGACUAGUUUAGCCUCUGCAUAUCAAGAAUAUAAUGCAGGUCAAGUAUAAUGCUCAAUAUUAGUGACAUGAGUAUCACUAAAUUACAUAGAACCCUGAUGGGGUUUCCUGUGUCGUAAUCCAUUAAAUCGGUGGCCAGUGCUUGCUGCCGUGGUUUAGUAAUUGGGUGUUAGAAAUAAAAACUCGGGUCUAUUUCUUACCAGUCAGUAACAAUUUUUAGAGAAUGUACUUGGUAUAAUAUAUGGACUUCAGGAACUUUAUUGGGGUGGGGGGUUAAUUUUGCCUUACCCUGUUCACUUUCAGAUGAUUAGGCUUUUGCACUUUAGAAUGAGAAACUUGUGACGUUAGUGUGUUCUUACUAGCUUUAAUUUGUAUGUAGCAAUGAAUUGUGAAUCUUAGUGCAGUGGGUUUUUUUAAAAAACUCAGUCAAAAAGCUGGGAAUUAAGUGGUUUCAGUAAUAAUGCUAUACCGAGGUGCUUGCAUUGUAUUUCAUAAUUUUGUUACAAACCAAAAUUAUUUUUAAUGAGAACAGUCUUGGGUUCAGAGGUGUGAUGCCAGAAUGUAUUUUCGUACUGUUAGGCCCUUGGAACAGAUACCGGUGCUUUCUGAAAGAUGAAAGAAAUGCAAUGGGUGCUCUUCAUGCAAGGUUGCAAACCUACCAAGAAUGCAUAAUAGUCUCACUUUUCCCCAAUAAAGAGAUGCGUGUGACUAGUUUUGGACUUUUAACCUUAAUGGGGGUUGCAUGUCUCCUAUUGUUAAUCAUUGUCAGCUGCAGUGACAUGAUCCACAGUCCUGCAUUUACUGCCUUUCACUUAAUGAUUUUGGACAGGUUUUAGAGAGCUAGGAUGUUGGUCUGGGCCUUUAUUUGGUUUUGGUUUUAGCUGAUAAUGUUUUAGUGAUGUCAGCUAGUGCAGUUCUCAAAUGGCUGCCUAUUAGGGAAAGAAUUCAGAGGAUUUGACUGCUCCUAAUCAUCUGUCAUUGCUGCUAGAUAAUGAUUGGCGAUUUUUAAGACUCAACUGGAAAUCUCAACAGUUGCUGGUAAACCAUUAACCAUCAAAAUGUUGCUUUUGAACACCAGUGCUGAAAAAAAUACAUUGCUUUUUUUUUUUUUGAGAGUGAAAAGGGCUUGGACGUAGGAUAGGACAAUGUGGAGAAUGGGGGGAAGAAUGCAAAACGAUAUAGUAUCCCUUAUGGAUGGUACAUGUGCAACAGGGAACUCUUACUUCAUAUACCCUUUGCAGUAAUCAUUCAGGGAGGAAGAAAAACCUGGAACUUGAAUGAAGGCUGAUCUUUGUUUUGUGCACUGUGGCCCUGCCAGGCAUAUAGUGAAGGUGAAUGUCUUCUCCCUCAGAAAAAAAUUGGUUCCUUGCUGUCCCAGUAAGGCAUAGCUUUUCCAGCCCUAACUUUAAAACUCAGUGAGGACUUAGAUGGGAAAGAAUGAGGUAAAUACAAAGGAUUGCAGGACAACAACUGCAGCGUUGUGUACUGUGGGAAGGGGAGUUGGGCACUGUUGGAGGACUCCUGCUGAAGGUGGUCAGCCCGCCUGACAAUGGAAGACAUACUUGAAUGGGGAGCAGGGUAUGUGCUUUCAUAUGAAAAAAGAGCUGAUGUUAAAACUCAUUUGGUGAGGUCAACGUUGUCACAUACCUUCACAUAAGGGAUAGUAUAUUUUGGGUUGCAGUCAAACUUGUGCUCAGACCGGUGAAAAUAAGAGUUAGGCUUUUACAUUUUAAAGAAAAUACAGUUUUCAUUCUAAUUCAGGUGUUUACUUAUUUUAUGUAAGAUUAAUUUUAGAUCUCCCCCCCACCAUGAAGUUUCUUCCUAUUUUUUUUAUGCUGUAACUUACCCCCAAUCUUUAUCUCUGGAUUUUUACUCUUUAAAUUUUGAAGUUGACUAGCAUUUUCAAACCUUUAUUUUAUACCCUUGUCUUUUAUAUUAACUUUUUCUUAUUAUUCUUUAGGUAAGAAUGAUUGAUGUUGGCUGAUGUUGGAGUGCUCGUUCACAUGAAGUGGAUAGAUACUUCUCAAGACAUCACACAGCGUGAGUCAAUCAAGGAGGGAAGCCACAAGCAGACUGACAAUGUUUCUAGCAGGAUCAGGUGAGCUGUGUCCAGAAAACCAACGAGAAGGAGUGGAAGGAGGAAUGAACGUUUCGUUCUCGUUAAUAAAGGCAUUAUCCUAAUUAUC
RNAcentral lists this small RNA (2843 nucleotides) under Pongo abelii (Sumatran orangutan). RNAcentral describes it as "processed transcript". The record is from RNAcentral. Lineage: Eukaryota; Metazoa; Chordata; Mammalia; Primates; Hominidae.